GGAGGGUGCAAGCGUUACUCGGAAUCACUGGGCGUAAAGGACGCGUAGGCGGAUUAUCAAGUCUCUUGUGAAAUCUAACGGCUUAACCGUUAAACUGCUUGGGAAACUGAUAAUCUAGAGUAAGGGAGAGGCAGAUGGAAUUCUUGGUGUAGGGGUAAAAUCCGUAGAGAUCAAGAAGAAUACCCAUUGCGAAAGCGAUCUGCUGGAACUUAACUGACGCUAAUGCGUGAAAGCGUGGGGAGCAAACAGGAUUAGAUACCCUGGUAGUCCACGCCCUAAACGAUGUAUACUAGUUGUUGCUUCGCUAGUCGAGGCAGUAAUGCACCUAACGGAUUAAGUAUACCGCCUGGGGAGUACGGUCGCAAGAUUA
Molecule: ribosomal RNA, 370 nt
Filed under: uncultured Campylobacter sp.
Lineage: Bacteria; Pseudomonadati; Campylobacterota; Epsilonproteobacteria; Campylobacterales; Campylobacteraceae
Description: bacterial SSU rRNA
Rfam family: Bacterial small subunit ribosomal RNA
Source: RNAcentral